RNAcentral lists this ribosomal RNA (254 nucleotides) under uncultured bacterium. RNAcentral describes it as "partial 16S ribosomal RNA". It matches the Rfam family "Bacterial small subunit ribosomal RNA", at positions 524 to 776 of the family's 1533-position model. The record is from RNAcentral.
UACGGGGGGAGCAAGCGUUGUUCGGAUUUACUGGGCGUAAAGGGCGCGUAGGCGGCCUCCGCAAGUCAGUUGUGAAAUCUCCGAGCUUAACUCGGAAAGGUCAACUGAUACUGCGGGGCUAGAGUGCGGAAGGGGCAACUGGAAUUCUUGGUGUAGCGGUGAAAUGCGUAGAUAUCGAGUGGAACACCGGUGGCGGAGGCGGCUUUCUGGACAGGUACUGACGCUGAGACGCGAAAGCGUGGGGAGCAAACAGG